GUUCCCCUGCUUUGUACGUGAAAGUCGGCAUUUUUUGAGCCAACAGCCAAAAAAAGGAAGGAUCCUCUACCUGCCGUGUGCACGCCUCUCAAGAGGAAGCCUAACGCAGGCAUCGAUCCGUCCACCUGCGAGAGCAGGUUCAAACUUGCCGGCCGCACGGCAAUAGCGGGGGAAUU
This 176-nucleotide non-coding RNA is filed under the name Deltaproteobacteria bacterium. RNAcentral's name for it is "6S RNA". It matches the Rfam family "6S / SsrS RNA". Rfam says of the family: E. coli 6S RNA was the first non coding RNA to be sequenced, but its function was unknown until recently. It consists of 184 nucleotides that fold into an extended hairpin structure with a large single-stranded internal bulge. The record is from RNAcentral. Lineage: Bacteria; Pseudomonadati; Myxococcota; Myxococcia.